GACGAACGCUGGCGGCGUGCUUAACACAUGCAAGUCGAACGGCAAGGCCCUGCUUUUGUGGGGUGCUCGAGUGGCGAACGGGUGAGUAACACGUGAGUAACCUGCCCUUGACUUUGGGAUAACUUCAGGAAACUGGGGCUAAUCCCGGAUAGGAGCUCCUGCUGCAUGGUGGGGGUUGGAAAGUUUCGGCGGUUGGGGAUGGACUCGCGGCUUAUCAGCUUGUUGGUGGGGUAGUGGCUUACCAAGGAUGUGACGGGUAGCCGGCCUGUGAGGGUGACCGGCCACAUUGGGACUGAGAUACGGCCCAGACUCCUACGGGAGGCAGCAGUGGGGAAUAUUGCACAAUGGGCGGAAGCCUGAUGCAGCAACGCCGCGUUCGGGAUGACGGCCUUCGGGUUGUAAACCGCUUUCGCCUGUGACGAAGCGUGAGUGACGGUAAUGGGUAAAGAAGCACCGGCUAACUACGUG
Molecule: ribosomal RNA, 468 nt
Filed under: uncultured bacterium
Lineage: Bacteria
Description: partial 16S ribosomal RNA
Rfam family: Bacterial small subunit ribosomal RNA
Source: RNAcentral